This 88-nucleotide ribosomal RNA is filed under the name Valeriana hardwickii. The record is from RNAcentral. Lineage: Eukaryota; Viridiplantae; Streptophyta; Magnoliopsida; Dipsacales; Caprifoliaceae.
GAUCCCAUCAGAACUCCGAAGUUAAGCGUGCUUGGGCGAGAGUAGUACUAGGAUGGGUGACCCCCUGGGAAGUCCUCGCGUUGCACCC